Molecule: ribosomal RNA, 467 nt
Filed under: uncultured bacterium
Lineage: Bacteria
Description: partial 16S ribosomal RNA
Rfam family: Bacterial small subunit ribosomal RNA
Source: RNAcentral
ACGAACGCUGGCGGCGUGCUUAACACAUGCCAGUCGAACGGAAAGGCCCUGCUUUUGUGGGGUGCUCGAGUGGCGAACGGGUGAGUAACACGUGAGUAACCUGCCCUUGACUUUGGGAUAACUUCAGGAAACUGGGGCUAAUACCGGAUAGGAGCUCCUGCUGCAUGGUGGGGGUUGGAAAGUUUCGGCGGUUGGGGAUGGACUCGCGGCUUAUCAGCUUGUUGGUGGGGUAGUGGCUUACCAAGGCUUUGACGGGUAGCCGGCCUGAGAGGGUGACCGGCCACAUUGGUACUGAGAUACGGCCCAGACUCCUACGGGAGGCAGCAGUGGGGAAUAUUGCACAAUGGGCGGAAGCCUGAUGCAGCAACGCCGCGUGCGGGAUGACGGCCUUCGGGUUGUAAACCGCUUUCGCCUGUGACGAAGCGUGAGUGACGGUAAUGGGUAAAGAAGCACCGGCUAACUACGUG